RNAcentral lists this ribosomal RNA (598 nucleotides) under Colletotrichum queenslandicum. RNAcentral describes it as "eukaryotic LSU rRNA". The stretch from base 231 to 384 matches the Rfam family "5.8S ribosomal RNA". RNAcentral also lists the same sequence under 1 other name. Lineage: Eukaryota; Fungi; Ascomycota; Sordariomycetes; Glomerellales; Glomerellaceae. The record is from RNAcentral.
UAGAGGAAGUAAAAGUCGUAACAAGGUCUCCGUUGGUGAACCAGCGGAGGGAUCAUUACUGAGUUUACGCUCUACAACCCUUUGUGAACAUACCUAUAACUGUUGCUUCGGCGGGUAGGGUCUCCGUGACCCUCCCGGCCUCCCGCCCCCGGGCGGGUCGGCGCCCGCCGGAGGAUAACCAAACUCUGAUUUAACGACGUUUCUUCUGAGUGGUACAAGCAAAUAAUCAAAACUUUUAACAACGGAUCUCUUGGUUCUGGCAUCGAUGAAGAACGCAGCGAAAUGCGAUAAGUAAUGUGAAUUGCAGAAUUCAGUGAAUCAUCGAAUCUUUGAACGCACAUUGCGCCCGCCAGCAUUCUGGCGGGCAUGCCUGUUCGAGCGUCAUUUCAACCCUCAAGCUCUGCUUGGUGUUGGGGCCCUACAGCUGAUGUAGGCCCUCAAAGGUAGUGGCGGACCCUCCCGGAGCCUCCUUUGCGUAGUAACUUUACGUCUCGCACUGGGAUCCGGAGGGACUCUUGCCGUAAAACCCCCAAUUUUCCAAAGGUUGACCUCGGAUCAGGUAGGAAUACCCGCUGAACUUAAGCAUAUCAAUAAGCGG